RNAcentral lists this ribosomal RNA (1000 nucleotides) under Vibrio azureus. Its description in RNAcentral is "bacterial SSU rRNA". It matches the Rfam family "Bacterial small subunit ribosomal RNA", at positions 60 to 1051 of the family's 1533-position model. The record is from RNAcentral. Lineage: Bacteria; Pseudomonadati; Pseudomonadota; Gammaproteobacteria; Vibrionales; Vibrionaceae.
AGUUAACUGAACCUUCGGGGGACGUUAACGGGCGUCGAGCGGCGGACGGGUGAGUAAUGCCUAGGAAAUUGCCCUGAUGUGGGGGAUAACCAUUGGAAACGAUGGCUAAUACCGCAUGAUGCCUACGGGCCAAAGAGGGGGACCUUCGGGCCUCUCGCGUCAGGAUAUGCCUAGGUGGGAUUAGCUAGUUGGUGAGGUAAGGGCUCACCAAGGCGACGAUCCCUAGCUGGUCUGAGAGGAUGAUCAGCCACACUGGAACUGAGACACGGUCCAGACUCCUACGGGAGGCAGCAGUGGGGAAUAUUGCACAAUGGGCGCAAGCCUGAUGCAGCCAUGCCGCGUGUGUGAAGAAGGCCUUCGGGUUGUAAAGCACUUUCAGUCGUGAGGAAGGUAGUGUAGUUAAUAGCUGCAUUAUUUGACGUUAGCGACAGAAGAAGCACCGGCUAACUCCGUGCCAGCAGCCGCGGUAAUACGGAGGGUGCGAGCGUUAAUCGGAAUUACUGGGCGUAAAGCGCAUGCAGGUGGUUUGUUAAGUCAGAUGUGAAAGCCCGGGGCUCAACCUCGGAAUAGCAUUUGAAACUGGCAGACUAGAGUACUGUAGAGGGGGGUAGAAUUUCAGGUGUAGCGGUGAAAUGCGUAGAGAUCUGAAGGAAUACCGGUGGCGAAGGCGGCCCCCUGGACAGAUACUGACACUCAGAUGCGAAAGCGUGGGGAGCAAACAGGAUUAGAUACCCUGGUAGUCCACGCCGUAAACGAUGUCUACUUGGAGGUUGUGGCCUUGAGCCGUGGCUUUCGGAGCUAACGCGUUAAGUAGACCGCCUGGGGAGUACGGUCGCAAGAUUAAAACUCAAAUGAAUUGACGGGGGCCCGCACAAGCGGUGGAGCAUGUGGUUUAAUUCGAUGCAACGCGAAGAACCUUACCUACUCUUGACAUCCAGAGAACUUUCCAGAGAUGGAAUUGGUGCCCUUCGGGAACUCUGAGACAGGUGCUGCAUGGCUG